This 524-nucleotide unclassified non-coding RNA is filed under the name Hevea brasiliensis (rubber tree). The record is from RNAcentral. Lineage: Eukaryota; Viridiplantae; Streptophyta; Magnoliopsida; Malpighiales; Euphorbiaceae.
GUCAAAAUGAAGAAUUCUUGAGAUACAUCCACGAUGUAAGUGAUCAAGGCCUCGAGCAAUUCCAAGGGAAAUCUGAUAAAGUGUUUCCCAAUUAUGUACUUGCUUUCCUCUGUUCUUUUUGGAGUAAAUGAACAUUUCAAGGGAUCCAUUUGGCAUGAAUUCAUACACGAGCUUUUCUGGAAGCCUCAGAACAAAAUCCUAAAAGACUUACGAUAUUCAUGUGCUAAGUUCGUCCAAUGCUGGCUGCCUCAUUGAUGAAUUCUUCACCAUUACCUUUGGAUUCACUCAAGACUUUAACAGCAACCAAAUGACCAUCAGCAAGUUGCCCUUUGAAUACUGCCCCAUACCCUCCUUGUCCCAGUUUGUCCUUGAAGGUGUUGGUCAUUUUCUUUGUCAUUGCAUAAUUGUAUCUUUUGGGAGUUAGGCAUCCAUAGUCCUCUAGAAACUUUUUCCACUUUCCUGGCAUUUUCAUGUUUCUUCUUCCAUAACAAGUACAAAUUGGAUGAUAAGAGUCUACUUCUAAU